GAAGCACUAUCGAGCCUAGAAGUCCUCGGGCCAGCAGUUUGCGGAUUGGUCGAAAGUUGGUGUCCGUCGCAGUUGCCGAGCGACCGCUCUGAUAAUUCCGUGGUCCCGGCAGGAGAAAGAUGAAGAAACUAAGGCUUGGAGAGCCUGAGCAGGUUGUACAAGACUGCCUUGUGAUCAGCACGAUGAAAGACUUCUUGGCAACUGGUUUCAGGAGAAAGAGAUCUUUUACAAAAGACCACAAGGCAUGCUCCACGCCUGCAGCCAAGGUGAUAAAACUCCUCAGGUGUUUUCCCCUUCCACUGCCAGUGUCGACCGAGCCCGGGCACGCGCCAGGAGGGCUUCCCAGUACCUGUGGACAAGUUCGUGAUUCAUCCAGCACUCAGAGACAAGCUGCUGCCUGGCACCCAGGUUCUUCUUGGCACCAGAGAUUCAACGAACUAGAGCACCAGAUGUCCACACACACACUGCUGGUGUUUUAGUGAGGAGGACAGAUUAUAAGGAAAAAAACCCAAGAACACGUCAUAAAUUCAAUAAUGGUAUGUUACAAGGAAAAUUAAUCUGGGUGUUACAGGACUGAGUGACUGGGUGGAAAACAGCAAAGAAGAUGGACAGACAAAACCUGAAUAAUGAGGAAGUUGGGUCCAAGUCUUGGCACUGUCCCUUCGUGUCAGUGUGAUCUCCAGCAAGAUUCUCAACCUCUCUGGGAUUCAGUGUCUUCUUUUGUGUAAUGAGGGUAUUAAUGGUAUCUACCUUUUAGGGCUAGCAUAAGAAGUAAAUUAGUUAAUAUGUGUAAAUGAGUCAGUGUAUGUCUGGCCUAUUGUGAAAACUCAAUAAGUAUCUCUUAUUAAGACAUGUUCCUCUUAGGAGUGUCCUUGUAUAUAUCUACAAAUUGAAGGCUCUGAGAAGUCCUGCAUUAAAACCUUACUGAACUUGUUUGGC
Molecule: long non-coding RNA, 939 nt
Organism: Bubalus bubalis (water buffalo)
Lineage: Eukaryota; Metazoa; Chordata; Mammalia; Artiodactyla; Bovidae
Exons: 3
Source: RefSeq, a predicted model, not a curated record